RNAcentral lists this ribosomal RNA (431 nucleotides) under uncultured bacterium. RNAcentral's name for it is "partial 16S ribosomal RNA". It matches the Rfam family "Bacterial small subunit ribosomal RNA", at positions 29 to 507 of the family's 1533-position model. The record is from RNAcentral.
AACGAACGCUGGCGGCAGGCUUAACACAUGCAAGUCGAACGCCCCGCAAGGGGAGUGGCAGACGGGUGAGUAACGCGUGGGAACAUACCCUUUUCUACGGAAUAGCUCUGGGAAACUGGAAUUAAUACCGUAUACGCCCUACGGGGGAAAGAUUUAUCGGGGAAGGAUAGGCCCGCGUUGGAUUAGCUAGUUGGUGGGGUAAAGGCCUACCAAGGCGACGAUCCAUAGCUGGUCUGAGAGGAUGAUCAGCCACAUUGGGACUGAGACACGGCCCAAACUCCUACGGGAGGCAGCAGUGGGGAAUAUUGGACAAUGGGCGCAAGCCUGAUCCAGCCAUGCCGCGUGAGUGAUGAAGGCCUUAGGGUUGUAAAGCUCUUUCACCGAUGAAGAUAAUGACGGUAGUCGGAGAAGAAGCCCCGGCUAACUUCGUG